AGUGAACGCUGGCGGUAGGCCUAACACAUGCAAGUCGAACGGCAGCACAGUAAGAGCUUGCUCUUACGGGUGGCGAGUGGAGGACGGGUGAGGAAUACAUCGGAAUCUACUUUUUCGUGGGGGAUAACGUAGGGAAACUUACGCUAAUACCGCAUACGACCUACGGGUGAAAGCAGGGGAUCUUCGGACCUUGCGCGAUUGAAUGAGCCGAUGUCGGAUUAGCUAGUUGGCGGGGUAAAGGCCCACCAAGGCGACGAUCCGUAGCUGGUCUGAGAGAAGGAUCAGCCACACGGGAACGGAGCCACGGUCCAGACUCCUAAGGGAGGCACCAGUGGGGAAUAUUGGACAAUGGGGGAAAGCCUGAUCCAGCAAUACGGCGUGGGUGAAGAAGGCCUUGGGGUUGUAAAGCCCUUUUGUUGGGAAAGAAAAGCAGCAGGUUAAUACCCCGCUGGUCUGACGGUACCCAAAGAAUAAGCACCGGCUAACUUCGUG
Molecule: ribosomal RNA, 492 nt
Filed under: uncultured bacterium
Lineage: Bacteria
Description: partial 16S ribosomal RNA
Rfam family: Bacterial small subunit ribosomal RNA
Source: RNAcentral